RNAcentral lists this ribosomal RNA (253 nucleotides) under uncultured bacterium. RNAcentral describes it as "partial 16S ribosomal RNA". It matches the Rfam family "Bacterial small subunit ribosomal RNA", at positions 524 to 776 of the family's 1533-position model. The record is from RNAcentral.
UACGUAUGGAGCAAGCGUUAUCCGGAUUUACUGGGUGUAAAGGGAGUGUAGGUGGUAACACAAGUCAGAAGUGAAAGCCCGGGGCUUAACCCCGGGACUGCUUUUGAAACUGUGGAACUAGAGUGCAGGAGGGGUGAGUGGAAUUCCUAGUGUAGCGGUGAAAUGCGUAGAUAUUAGGAGGAACACCAGUGGCGAAGGCGGCUCACUGGACUGUAACUGACACUGAGGCUCGAAAGCGUGGGGAGCAAACAGG